UGGGGUGGGGAGAUAGCACUGCUAUGGGUGCAGGCUGCUCACACGUGUGUGCAUGUCUGUGGCAUCCCCCUGACCAUGGUGCCCUGGGUGGUUGCCCAUGUUGCCCAUCUGUAAGGCUGGCCUUGGUUGUUAUCCUCACUGAGACCGCACUGGGGGAAGAAAUGAUGAGAAAAUGACUAUUGACAUCAUGUUACGCUGUUAUGCAAUCCACCCACAGGGUUCAGACUUGCAAACAGGUCGACUCCCAUUUAAGUACCUAAGCAAAGUUGGCAGAUUUUCAGAAGGGCUCAGCAUCCAUCAGCCUCUGCUGAAAACACACCAAAUUCUUCUGAAAACUGUUCCAGAGGGACUAUUUAAGACAACAGGGCCAAGUUGUGAUUGACAAUUAAUAUACCUCUUUUUUUCAGGAAACAAGAAUAGCUACAUUCACAGAGGAGGCAGUGUCUGAGUUCACAUCUCAGAGCAUGGGGCUUUGCACAAAUGUGCACCAAGAUGAAAUUGAUCCUUAUUCUUUCAACAUACUACCUCUUAUUGCACACAGUCCAAGAGAUUCUGGUCUCAUUUACACUAGGAUCAACUGGAGCCAUUCUCAUUUAGUCCAUGGAAUAGUUUGCACCAGAAUGUGACCCACCAAAUUACUACAUCCCAGUUCUCAAGCCAUCUGGAAAUGCAUAGUACCUCAGGGAGUCUCUGAUGGACCUGUUCCCACACACAACCACCUAGAGGCCACAAGUAAAUGAGCUGCUCUCAUAUUUUGAAUCAAUGGGAACAAGAAGGAUUUGCUGGGUCUUGCUUCAGAUACUCAGCAGAUCUCCCUGGGCUCACCUUAGUCUGAUGGAUGCCUCUGGUAUAGAACAGCUAAAGAUAUGACUUAACAAUUACAUUACCAUCAGUCAGUGCCUUUAAUAGAUACUGGUGUCUGCUCUUUCAGUGAUCCUGCAUGAUAAUAACAAUGCCCUCUGCUGAAUCGAACCAGAAGAACUCAGCACUCCCACUCACAGCACUGACAGCGCCCAGUCAUUUGGUACAAAUAAUAUUUAAUGGAAAAUUUUACAGGAAUGAUUUGGAGAUGGCAAAGUCUGGAAAAAUUCCCAAAGCAAACACAGUAGAGGAAAAGUUAUAAAUGCCAUUAAACGUGGUUUAAGAGUCCUUACAGUUGGUUCCCAGUACGCCAGACUGUUCAGUGCACUAGGUAAACUUCCCUCUUUGAAUACGCUAUGCCCAGCAAUGCCAUUUCAGUUCAAAACACACUGACGAGGUGCCGUUCAUCAGCAGAGAGCCGAUUUUGAAGAGAGGAAUGUUUAUCCCAUGGGAAUCUGCUUCGUCAGAAAUGGCGCGAGGGUCGCUGGCACAGCAAACACCUGCCCUAUGGUGGGAGACAAGGUGAAUGGGUGCCCAGAAAAGCAAAGAAGAGCUGAAGAAGUGGGGAGGAGAGCCAAGGGAAUGCAAGACCCUGUUGAUAACCAAACUAGACUGAGUUGCAAAGACAGGGACGCUGUUCUGGAAAGCCCAUAAGCAAGUGCUGAAGAUCCCGUGAUUUCAGAGGGAUUUAAGUACCCCCUUAAAAUGCAGGAGCCCACCAGUCCACCAGCUGAAUGGCCAGGUGGUGCACCAGCCCACCAUGCUGAAUGGCAUGUUUCCAGGCUGCCUGUUCUAGCAGCACUCACUAUAUUAAGGACACAAUACACUUCACUUGUUUCGUGACUUUGUGGUGACUUUAAAUUUCAGCAACAACAGUAGGUCAAAGUUACAUACUGCUCUAAGUGGGUACAGCUUUAUAAGCUUCAGUAAAGUGGCCUGUCUUUCACUCAGGUAUAGGACACCUGAGAGAUUAAACACUGCUUUGUCUCUGCUCAAGCAUGCUUUGCAACAGGCCACACAACUCAAGCCAGAACAUCCUACUUCCUAACGCAUACAAAUGAAAGCUGGAAAGGAGAUGAAUGCAGCGGGUUCCUGAGUCCGAGUGUUGUUCUAGUCAGAGUGGAAAACAAAUCCAAACCAGCCAGUGCCUAAAUUUGGCCUAAUUUGUCAUUGCUGGGAGAGAAUAAUCAUUACACUUAAGUAAUCUGCCUUGUUUUCAACAGCUAUGGGGUUCUUCACUCACCAAGGUCCCCAAGGGCCGUGGAUCCCUGCCUAGGCAAAUGUGACUUUCAAAGCAAAGUUGCUAGAGAAAUCUGUGUACUCUGAUCUCUGCAGAAGAGAGAGGUGGAGAGAGCCACAGGUAGUGAGGGCAAAGGUUGUCCCAGGUUGUCCUGGGAGGAAAAGUGUCUGUGGUCUCCAGACUUCCACAGCUGUAAGGAGGGGGAGCUAUUUGAGAAGAUCAAGUCGGCCCAGAAAUGGAAAUGUUUCCGUGUCAUUGAGCAGCAUGUGCCUGGUUCAAAUGAAGCUUCUUGGGAGCCCAGAUUGGCCAGACCCCGUGCUACACCUUGUCAAAUGUUCAGCUCCUUUAUGCUGGCUCAGCAGCCCUUGAUAGCAGAGCAGGGACUAUGUGAAAGCAAAGGCCACCAGGACCACUAGUUGGAGCAUGCAGAGAAGGGUUGUCCACCCCCAAGCGCAGGUAUUACUGACUGCUGAAUGCAUGUCCAAGGUCCCCUGUGCCCAACCCACAGAGGACAUGAGCUCGCCAAUGGUCAUACACCAUAGGUGGAGUAAGAAAUGGUCCUUGUGCCUUCCCCCAGCCCCUUUUCACCGCCUACUCACAUUCUCACCUCCUCCUGCCCCGUGGCAUGUUCAGUUAAUAGAAAAUGCCAGUGAACGCCAAGGAAGCUUUCAGCCUCUUUGGCUUGUUACAUUCAAGUAAAAUCGUGUAAAUGCUGCUCCUGUAAAAUCCUGCUUGAUUGUAUCCUUGCUGAUUAACGACAACCACUGGUGGUGAAAAGCUGCAGGUUUUGUGGCACUGCCACAGCAAGAAGAACGGUGACAACCGCAUAUUUGCUGGAGCUCUAAGAGUUACUCGCUGCUUCUCCUGCAGCUCGGUAUAAUACAAAGGCAUAAAUUCUUCACCACAAGACCAUUUUCUUAAUAAAGUGCCUGUGCUGGGGUCCGGUAUUAUUGCUGGGUUGGAAACGCUGAAUGUCUCCAUGUGCAUUUCAUUAGCAUGCGCUUGCUCUGCUCCCACAGAUGCUUUACAGGAGAAUCUGUGCCAGCGCUGGAGCCCGAGUGUCCCCCAGUGAAACCCAAGAGCCACAUCCAUUUUUAGAGUGAGUUUGCCCAAAGAGAUGUUGCAUUAUCUGAGCACCACGUAAGGGAACAAAAUGAACUGAGGCUCCCCCGGCCACUUAUUUACCUUCUGUUUAAACAGUCUUUCAAGUUCUCUCCUGCACACCCUUCACUUGGCACCUCGCGUGGUGUUAGAGAGUCUAUUUUUAAAAGCAUGCUGCUGGCUUUUAUCUCAAGCUGCCUGAAUCUUUUUUUUCCCCCUCCCCAGCCCUUGUGCUCCUCAACUUAUUUGAAAGACGUUGGCAGAUAAAAGCGGAGAGGAGAGAUAGGGCGAAGGCAGCGAGCUUGGCCUGGCAAGCUGGGAAUUGGAGAGGGGUGGGAAACAAACACAUAAAAAAGUACCUAAAUACUUCCUGGAAUCACCGGUGAGUCAGUGUGGGUCCAGUCCCAACCGUCUGAUGGGAAAAAUGAAACCUGCCACUUUACACAAAAUAAAGGUUUACUUGAGCGAGGACUGCAGAAUUGGGCUAUCUAAAUUCCACAUUCUCUUUGUAUUGUUACCAUCACAACCCAGGGCAACAAACACACUCGGGAAUUAGUGCUUUGGCAGCAUCCAGGACCAAUAGCUCUGGAAGGCGAAGCUCUCCCUCCUAGCUUGCUCUAGGCAGCCUCUCUAAGUCUACCCCUGCACCCGUGGGCCCGAGUCCUCACCUUAAACACUCUUUGAAAGUCAUUUCCUUGUGGCAGGCUGUCAAAUGGCAGAUGCACCAAUUCUGAUCUGAUUCACACUGGUGUAAAUCGGGGCAGGGCCAAUGCAGUCAAUGGGGGCUUCCUAUGUAUAAAGUGAGGGUAAGGCUAGGAUCAGGGAUUCAUAUUGACUGCUCUCACCCAGGGAGCCCCGAGCCCCUGUCACUGUUAGGAGGGUAAAUGAGAGAGCCGGGGAAUGCUAUGCAGCUGUUUGAAAAGCCAGUUUCCAUGUGCAUGUUGCAGUCAAACACCAGACCAGGCUAAAAAUCAGCAUCUGUGCUCUGAGCCUGGGGUGGAUCAUUCAAACACCCAGCAGUGCCCAGGCAGCAAACAUAAAAGUGAGUCAAGAGGGAAGCAAGCCUGGUGCCAGGAACCUAAACAGCUGAUCCCAAACAGCACAGGAUGCACUACGGGCCCCUAAAUCUAGUGAGUGGAGGAUUAGGGGAUGUGAUCCAAUCUAAUGUACAAUAAACUCAGUUGUGAAGUA
Molecule: long non-coding RNA, 4393 nt
Organism: Alligator mississippiensis (American alligator)
Lineage: Eukaryota; Metazoa; Chordata; Crocodylia; Alligatoridae
Exons: 2
Source: RefSeq, a predicted model, not a curated record